Molecule: long non-coding RNA, 1304 nt
Filed under: Monodelphis domestica (gray short-tailed opossum)
Lineage: Eukaryota; Metazoa; Chordata; Mammalia; Didelphimorphia; Didelphidae
Description: lncRNA (ENSMODG00000031271.2)
Source: RNAcentral
CCUGGUCAAUUUCCUACUAAGGAUCAGGGCAGCAAUGGACAACUGGGAAUUCCAAUCAUCAGGAAACUUGCCAAUUCUUCACUCAGAAAAGACUCUGCCCAGAAGCACUCCAUUCAGAAUGAAACCUCUACCACCGUGUUGGGCUGCCAAUAGCAAUAAUCGUGGGAGGACUUACCAAAGCCACAAGAAAGACAACCUCCAUGCAGAUCUCUCCUAUAUGUACUAACUGAUCCAGAGUUGCAACCUUGUCAACAUGUUUGAUUUAGCUUCAUUUGAAAUGGCUCAGAAGAAAAAGAGGGAGGAAGAGGAAGAGGAGGAAGAAAAGAGGAAGAAAGAAAAGAAGGAAGGAAGAAAGAAAAGAAGGAAGGAAGAAAGAAAGAAAGAAAGAAAGAAAGAAAGAAAGAAAGAAAGAAAGAAAGAAAGAAAGAAAGAAAGAAAGAAAGAAAGAAAGAAAGAAAGAAAGAAAGAAAGAAAGAAAGAAAGAAAGAAAGAAAGAAAGAAAGAAAGAAAGAAAGAAAGAAAGAAAGAAAGAAAGAAAGAAAGGAAGAAAGAAAGAAAGGAAGAAAGAAAGAAAGGAAGGAAGGAAGGAAGGAAGGAAGGAAGGAAGGAAGGAAGGAAGGAAGGAAGGAAGGAAGGAAGGAAGGAAGGAAGGAAGGAAGAAGAAGAAGAAGAAGGAAGAAAGAAAGAAAGAAAGAAAGAAAGAAAGAAAGAAAGAAAGAAAGAAAGAAAGAAAGAAAGAGAGAGAGAGAGAAAGAAAGAAAGAAAGAAAGAAAGAAAGAAAGAAAGAAAGAAAGAAAGAAAGAAAGAAAGAAAGAAAGAAAGAAAGAAAGAAAGAAAGAAGGGAGGGAUCAAUAAAAAUCAAUCUUUUUUUUUUUUUAAGGAUGAUGUAUGGACUACUCUACCCAAUGCUCUGGGAAUUUCCCACUUUUGCAAAGUGGUGGGGGUUAUGGUCUCCUAUUUCUUCUUUGGAGCCAAGCUUGUUGUUAAAAAUUUCACAUUCAUCUUUGUUUUGUGGUUGAAACUAUGCAUACUGUCUUUGUAGCUCUGAUUACUUCACUUUGUAUCAGCUCACAUAAGUCCAUGUUUUUCUGUAUGUGUCGUGUUUAUCAUUUCUCACAAAACAAUAAUAUUCCAUUACAUUCAUGUACCACAAUGUAUUUAGUCAUUCUCUACUUAAUGGGUGUCUACUUUAUUUCUGUUUUUUUUUUUGCCAACACACACACAUGCAAAAAAACGCUACUACAAAUAUUUUUUGUAAUAAUUAGUCAUUUGGGGACAUAACGGGAAAAACAGAUAGGGAAAUU